UACGUAGGGCGCAAGCGUUGUCCGGAAUUAUUGGGCGUAAAGAGCUCGUAGGUGGUGUGUCGCGUCUGCCGUGAAAGCCCGGGGCUUAACUCCGGGUCUGCGGUGGAUACGGGCAGACUAGAGGCAGGUAGGGGAGAACGGAAUUCCUGGUGUAGCGGUGAAAUGCGCAGAUAUCAGGAGGAACACCGGUGGCGAAGGCGGGUCUCUGGGCCGAUACUGACGCUGAGGAGCGAAAGCGUGGGGAGCGAACAGG
Molecule: ribosomal RNA, 253 nt
Filed under: uncultured bacterium
Lineage: Bacteria
Description: partial 16S ribosomal RNA
Rfam family: Bacterial small subunit ribosomal RNA
Source: RNAcentral